Molecule: unclassified non-coding RNA, 915 nt
Filed under: Hevea brasiliensis (rubber tree)
Lineage: Eukaryota; Viridiplantae; Streptophyta; Magnoliopsida; Malpighiales; Euphorbiaceae
Source: RNAcentral
GUUUUACACUCUUUACGUCAAUGGCGAUUUCUCUCAAUUCUGGUCUUACUGUGGCAGUUAGCAGAAGUAUUCGUCAAACCCCACUUCACAAUGUUAAUUUGACAACAAACCCGUUUAGUUUCAACUGCAAUUUCAGCUUAACCCCCAAUUUUCUAGCCAUUUCUGCCUCCCACAGGUCCUCCUCUGUUAUCUACAGCUCCAGAGAAACUGAGACUCCAGUGGUGAGUGAGGACACCAUCAAUGUGUUGGACGAUGUUCAAGUAUUUGAUCUGAAUGGACAAGGAGUACCUAUUUCGGAUUUGUGGAAAGAUAGGAAGGCAGUUGUUGCCUUUGCUCGUCAUUUUGGAUGCGUCCUUUGUCGCAUAAGAGCUGAUUAUCUUGCAGCUGAGAAGGAUAAGAUGGAUGCAGCAGGAGUCGCACUUGUUUUGAUUGGACCUGGUAGUGUUGAUCAGGCCAGAAAAUUCUACGAGCAAACAAAGUUUAAAGGAGAGGUUUAUGCUGAUCCAAGCUAUAGGUCUUAUGAGGCUCUGAGAUUUGUGUCUGGCAUUACAACCACAUUUACUCCCGGGGCGGGUCUGAAAAUAAUACAGGCAUACAUGGAAGGCUAUAGACAAGAUUGGGAGCUUUCUUUCGAAAAGGACACCAGGACACGAGGUGGCUGGCGACAAGGAGGAAUUAUUGUUGCAGGUCCUGGUAAAAAUAACAUUACAUACAUUCACAAGGACAAAGAAGCAGGUGAUGAUCCAGAUAUAAAAGAAAUCUUGAAUGCUUGCUGUGUACAAGGCUAAAUUUAAUCAAUACAGUCUAUAUAUUAUGUGUAUAUACAGACAAUUUGAAGAGAUACGUAUCUCGAUAGACACAAACUAGUACAUGAACAAUCCACACUUUUGGUUCAAAUAAGCAAUACUAGAGUUA